AAGGGGGGGGGGGGGGGAGCGCGGGGUCGGGGCCUGGGGGGGGGCGGGGGGGGAUAGGGAGGGGGGGGGGGGGGGUCAAAGGAAAGAACGGCGGAAAGUGGAGAGGGGAGUUGCCCGACGAAAACCCCCCCGUUUUGCCCCGGGGGGAUUUUGUUUUUUCCCUUAUUUCCCUUUUUUUUUUUUUUUGAUUUUCGUUCCGAGUUCCCUGUUUUAAACCCACUUUCCUUUGCUUUGGCGUGUUUUCCUUUUUUUCUGUUUACUUUUUUUUUCCCCCCCCCCACCCACACAACCAAACCCUAGCUUCAAGGAGGGGCCCAGGGGGAUCGUCUCCUUUUAAGUGACGCGGGACGGGGGUAACACACUGGGUAUACCACUCACAAUAAGAGGGUGGGUAACUUGGGGGAACCGGGGCUCUAACCCUGGAUAAUAUAUUACCCCCGCUUGUUCAAAAUAGGAAAGCUGGUUUUCGUUUCAAUAUAAAGAGGCUCCGGCCCCCCUUUAGUUAGGUGGAAAAGGUACCGCCUUCACAAGGGAAACGUUUGUUACCCCCCCUUGAGAGGGUUAUCGCCCCCAUGGGAAUUGAACCCCCGUCCCAGACUCCUACGGGGAGCCACCAGUAGGGAAUCUUCCCCAAUGGGCGAAACCCUGACGGAGCAACCCCCGGGUGAGUGAUGAAGGUCUUCGGAUCGUAAAACUCUUGUUAUUAGGGAAGAACAAAAUGUGUAAGUAACUAUGCACGUCUUGACGGUACCUAAUCAGAAAGCCACGGCUAACUACGUGCCAGCAGCCGCGGUAAUACGUAGGUGGCAAGCGUUAUCCGGAAUUAUUGGGCGUAAAGCGCGCGUAGGCGGUUUUUUAAGUCUGAUGUGAAAGCCCACGGCUCAACCGUGGAGGGUCAUUGGAAACUGGAAAACUUGAGUGCAGAAGAGGAAAGUGGAAUUCCAUGUGUAGCGGUGAAAUGCGCAGAGAUAUGGAGGAACACCAGUGGCGAAGGCGACUUUCUGGUCUGUAACUGACGCUGAUGUGCGAAAGCGUGGGGAUCAAACAGGAUUAGAUACCCUGGUAGUCCACGCCGUAAACGAUGAGUGCUAAGUGUUAGGGGGUUUCCGCCCCUUAGUGCUGCAGCUAACGCAUUAAGCACUCCGCCUGGGGAGUACGACCGCAAGGUUGAAACUCAAAGGAAUUGACGGGGACCCGCACAAGCGGUGGAGCAUGUGGUUUAAUUCGAAGCAACGCGAAGAACCUUACCAAAUCUUGACAUCCUCUGACCCCUCUAGAGAUAGAGUUUUCCCCUUCGGGGGACAGAGUGACAGGUGGUGCAUGGUUGUCGUCAGCUCGUGUCGUGAGAUGUUGGGUUAAGUCCCGCAACGAGCGCAACCCUUAAGCUUAGUUGCCAUCAUUAAGUUGGGCACUCUAAGUUGACUGCCGGUGACAAACCGGAGGAAGGUGGGGAUGACGUCAAAUCAUCAUGCCCCUUAUGAUUUGGGCUACACACGUGCUACAAUGGACAAUACAAAGGGUAGCGAAACCGCGAGGUCAAGCAAAUCCCAUAAAGUUGUUCUCAGUUCGGAUUGUAGUCUGCAACUCGACUAUAUGAAGCUGGAAUCGCUAGUAAUCGUAGAUCAGCAUGCUACGGUGAAUACGUUCCCGGGUCUUGUACACACCGCCCGUCACACCACGAGAGUUUGUAACACCCGAAGCCGGUGGAGUAACCAUUUGGAGCUAGCCGUCGAAGGUGGGACAAAUGAUUGGGGUGAAGUCGAACCAAGGAGCAUGGG
This 1778-nucleotide ribosomal RNA is filed under the name Staphylococcus epidermidis. RNAcentral's name for it is "partial 16S ribosomal RNA". The stretch from base 310 to 1778 matches the Rfam family "Bacterial small subunit ribosomal RNA". Lineage: Bacteria; Bacillati; Bacillota; Bacilli; Caryophanales; Staphylococcaceae. The record is from RNAcentral.